RNAcentral lists this unclassified non-coding RNA (412 nucleotides) under Polyschema sclerotigenum. Its description in RNAcentral is "partial internal transcribed spacer region". The stretch from base 1 to 157 matches the Rfam family "Group I catalytic intron", at positions 73 to 253 of the family's 253-position model. Lineage: Eukaryota; Fungi; Ascomycota; Dothideomycetes; Pleosporales; Latoruaceae. The record is from RNAcentral.
UGAUCCAGAGUCUUCUGGUGAAAUGGAUGAUCCGCAGCGAAGCCCCUGCUGUUUAUCGAGCAAAUCGAAACAUGGGGAACGUUCACAGACUAAGUGGAAGUGGGUGGAGCCAUAAGCUCUGCUUAAGAUAUAGUCGGGCCCCUUGGGAAACUUUGGGGAUGUUAAACCGUUCCGUAGGUGAACCUGCGGAAGGAUCAUUACCAUGGCGUGAGAAGGUGAUGGACAUACUGGUAACCCCAGGAGUUAAUCCCUUCACGCUCUUCUACCCUUGUCUAUUUGUACCCUUUGUCGUUCCCUCGGCGGGUCUUGAACCUGCCGGCGGCAACUUUCAAAACCUCUUGCAGUAGUAUCUAAUUCUUCUGAUUCAAAUAUCAAAUUAUUACAACUUUCAACAAUGGAUCUCUUGGUUCUG